AGCGAACGCUGGCGGCAGGCCUAACACAUGCAAGUCGAACGGACCCUUCGGGGUUAGUGGCGGACGGGUGAGUAACACGUGGGAACGUGCCCUUUGGUUCGGAACAACUCAGGGAAACUUGAGCUAAUACCGAAUGUGCCCUUCGGGGGAAAGAUUUAUCGCCAUUGGAGCGGCCCGCGUCUGAUUAGCUAGUUGGUGGGGUAAUGGCCUACCAAGGCGACGAUCAGUAGCUGGUCUGAGAGGAUGAUCAGCCACAUUGGGACUGAGACACGGCCCAAACUCCUACGGGAGGCAGCAGUGGGGAAUCCUGCGCAAUGGGCGAAAGCCUGACGCAGCCAUGCCGCGUGAAUGAUGAAGGUCUUAGGAUUGUAAAAUUCAUUCACCGGGGACGAUAAUGACGGUACCCGGAGAAGAAGCCCCGGCUAACUUCGUGCCAGCAGCCGCCGUAA
This 449-nucleotide ribosomal RNA is filed under the name uncultured bacterium. Its description in RNAcentral is "partial 16S ribosomal RNA". It matches the Rfam family "Bacterial small subunit ribosomal RNA", at positions 29 to 523 of the family's 1533-position model. The record is from RNAcentral.